This is a long non-coding RNA of Erinaceus europaeus (western European hedgehog), 454 nucleotides long. RefSeq lists it as uncharacterized. NCBI's taxonomy places the organism in Eukaryota, Metazoa, Chordata, Mammalia, Eulipotyphla, Erinaceidae. The record is from RefSeq and is a predicted model, not a curated record. The transcript is spliced from 2 exons.
CAGGCACCAGGGAUCAAACCACCCCUCACCCUCCAGUCCUAUGAACAGAAAAAGGACACAUGAACAAAGACCAGGAUACUCCUCUGAUGCUAUAUUUCCUGUACCCCUGCCCAACUUUUCCUCAGGUUAAAGGAGGGAUCGCCCCACCCCCAGAGCUCCCUGCACAUACAUUGAUGUUUCGGAGAAAGUCAGCUGAAAAGAGUGAGAGCUGGAUGUUCUCAGGCAAUGAGUACUGCUGCCGGAUUCCGCCCAAGGAUAGCCCAGUGGAGGCGCAGGAGUACUGUGGAGACAGGAGAAGGGGGCGAGGCCAGCUCCGUCACAUGCGGCACUAUAUAUUGUGAGGUACGUGGGACACAUGCCAAGAUUAAGGGGGGCUCUACUUGUUUUUUGUUUUAUUUUUUCCUUUAUUGGGGGAUUAAUGCUGCAUAGUCGACGAUAAAUACAAUGGUUUGUA